AGCCUCACUGCCGCCUUGCAGUUUGAUCUCAGACUGCUGUGCUAGCAAUCAGCGAGACUCCCUGGGUGUAGAACCCUCCGAGCCAGUCUUGAGAAAGGUCCUGCAAUUGGUCCAUCAGCACCUUAAAUAUACAGAUGAAGAUGCUGCUGAAGCAAAGACAUAAUGAUAUGCUCAAGUUCAUUUUCAGAGUUCUUCGAGGAGCCUUCUGAUUAAGGUCCAUUGUUUGUUGCGGGAAGUCAGGGACCCCGAACGGAGGGACCAGCUGGAGCCAAGACAGAAGAACAUAAAUUGUGAAGAUUUCAUGGACAUUUAUCAGUUCCCAAAAUUAAUACUUUUAUAAUUUUUUACACCUGUCUUUACUGCAGUCUCCAAACAUAAAUUGUGAAGAUUUCAUGGAUAUUUAUCACUUCCCCAAUCAAUACUCUUGUAAUUUCUUAUGCCUGUCUUUACUUUAUUCUCUUAAUCACAUUAUCUUCUUAAGCUGAAAAUGUACGUCACCUCAGGACCACUAUUGUACAAAUGGAUUGUAAAACAUGUGUUUGAACAAUAUGAAAUCAAUGCACCCUGAAAAAGAACAGAAUAACAGUGAUUUUCAGGGAACAAAGGAAGAUAACCACAAGGUCUGACUGCCUGCGGGGUCGGGCAAAAUAGAGCCAUAUAUUUCUUCCUGCAGAAAGCCUAUAGAUGGACGUGCGAGUAGGAGAAAUAUCGCUGAAUUCUUUUCCCAGCAAGGAGUAACCCUGGGGAAGGAAUGCAUUCCUGGGGGUAGGUCUGUCUAUGGCCACUCUGGGAGUGUCUGUCUUAUGCGGUUGAGAUAAGGACUGAAAUAUGCCCUGGUCUUCUGCAGUACCCUCAGGCUUACUAGGAUUGGGAAAUUCCAACCUGGUAAAUUCUAGUCAGACCAGUUGUCUGCUCUCGAACGCUGUUUCCUGUUAAGAUGUUUAUCAAGACAAUGCAUGCACAGCAGGACAUAGACCCUCAUCAGUAAUUCUAAUUUUGCCUUGCCUUGUAAUCUUUAUCGCCCUUUGAAGCAUGUGAUCCUUGUGACCUACUCCCUGUUUGUACAACCCCUCCAGUUUUAAAAUCCCUAAUAAAAACUUGCUGGUUUUGUGGCUUGGGGUUGUCUUCGUGGUCCUACCAAUAUGUGAUGACACCCCCAGAGGCCCAGCUGUAAAAUUUCUCUCUUUGUACUCUUUCUCUUUAUUUAUCAGACUGGCUGACACUUAGGGAAAAUAGAAAGAAUCUACAUUGAAAUAUUGGGGGCUGGUUUCCCUGAUAAUUGUUCUAGAGUGUAGAUUAAGUCUGAUGUUUCUUUGUUGAUUUUCUGUCUGGGAAAUAUGUCCAAUGCUGAAUGUAAUAAAUAGUCUCCAACUAUUAU
RNAcentral lists this long non-coding RNA (1378 nucleotides) under Homo sapiens (human). RNAcentral describes it as "HSALNT0039195". The record is from RNAcentral. Lineage: Eukaryota; Metazoa; Chordata; Mammalia; Primates; Hominidae.